UUACGGGGAGCUUUCUUCAGUCCAACGAAAGGCCGUAUAGGGAUGAUUCAACUGCUGGUUCAUGGACUCUACUAUCUUGUAAUCCUCGAGGUUCAGUAUUGGCGGCAAGAUAAUGGUGUGCAUGACACGGGAGUCGUAUUGCCACUACGCUGUUUUUACUUGGAUUGAAGAGAGCUCCCAGAAA
Molecule: microRNA precursor, 184 nt
Filed under: Pinus taeda (loblolly pine)
Lineage: Eukaryota; Viridiplantae; Streptophyta; Pinopsida; Pinales; Pinaceae
Description: miR159b stem-loop (pta-MIR159b)
Gene: pta-MIR159b
Rfam family: MIR159 microRNA precursor family
Source: miRBase by way of RNAcentral